AACGAACGCUGGCGGCAUGCCUAACACAUGCAAGUCGAACGAGACCUUCGGGUCUAGUGGCGCACGGGUGCGUAACGCGUGGGAACCUGCCCUUAGGUUCGGAAUAACUCCCCGAAAGGGGUGCUAAUACCGGAUAAUGUCUUCGGACCAAAGAUUUAUCGCCUUUGGAUGGGCCCGCGUUGGAUUAGCUAGUUGGUAGGGUAAAAGCCUACCAAGGCGACGAUCCAUAGCUGGUCUGAGAGGAUGAUCAGCCACACUGGGACUGAGACACGGCCCAGACUCCUACGAGAAGCAGCAGUGGGGAAUAUUGGACAAUGGGCGAAAGCCUGAUCCAGCAAUGCCGCGUGAGUGAUGAAGGCCUUAGGGUUGUAAAGCUCUUUUACCCGGGAUGAUAAUGACAGUACCGGGAGAAUAAGCUCCGGCUAACUCCGUG
RNAcentral lists this ribosomal RNA (433 nucleotides) under uncultured bacterium. Its description in RNAcentral is "partial 16S ribosomal RNA". It matches the Rfam family "Bacterial small subunit ribosomal RNA", at positions 29 to 507 of the family's 1533-position model. The record is from RNAcentral.